CACAAACAGCUAGGAUGUUGGCUUAGAAGCAGCCAUACAUUUAAAGAGUGCGUAAUAGCUCACUAGUCGAGUGAUCCUGCGCCGAAGAUAAACGGGGCUCAAACUUACCACCGAAGCUUUGGAAUUAGUAUAACUAAUUGGUAGAGGAGCAUUCUAUACAGGUAGAAGGAGGCGCGUAAGCAAAUCUGGACGGUAUAGAAGAGAGAAUGUUGGCAUGAGUAGCGUAAGGCGGGUGAGAAUCCCGUCCGCCGAAAAUCUAAGGUUUCCUGAGGAAGGUUCGUCCUCUCAGGGUAAGUCGGGACCUAAGCCGAGAGCGAACGCUGUAGGCGAUGGACAACAGGUUGAUAUUCCUGUACCACCAAGGAUUGUUUGAAUGAAGUGGGGACACAGAAGGAUAGAUUGAGCACGCCGUUGGUUGAGCGUGUCCAAGCAGCAAGGCUUGAAAGUAGGCAAAUCCGCUUUCUAUAAGGCUGAGCUGUGAUGGGGUGGUCGAAUGACCGGUAGCAAUCGAUUUCACGCUGUCAAGAAAAGCCGCUAAUGAGAUCCAAGGUGCCCGUACCGCAAACCGACACAGGUAGAUGAGGAGAGAAUCCUAAGGUGAGCGAGAGAACUAUUGUUAAGGAACUCGGCAAAAUAACCCCGUAACUUCGGGAGAAGGGGUGCCUGCUUCGGCAGGCCGCAGUGAAGAGGUCCAGGCAACUGUUUACCAAAAACACAGGUCUCUGCUAAAGCGAAAGCUGAUGUAUAGGGGCUGACGCCUGCCCGGUGCUGGAAGGUUAAGGGGAAGUGUUAGGGCAACCGAAGCACAGAACUUAAGCCCCAGUAAACGGCGGCCGUAACUAUAACGGUCCUAAGGUAGCGAAAUUCCUUGUCGGGUAAGUUCCGACCCGCACGAAAGGCGUAAUGAUCUGGGCACUGUCUCAACAAUAGACUCGGUGAAAUUGUAGUACCGGUAAAGAUGCCGGUUACCCGCAGCAGGACGGAAAGACCCCGUGGAGCUUCACUGUAGCUUGAUAUUGAUUUUCGGCAUUGCAUGUACAGGAUAGGUGGGAGACGUUGAGUUCAGCACGCCAGUGUUGGAGGAGUCACCGUUGGGAUACCACCCUUGUAAUGUUGGAAAUCUAACCUAGUACCGUGAUCCGGUACAGGGACAGUGUCAGGUGGGCAGUUUGACUGGGGCGGUCGCCUCCUAAAGAGUAACGGAGGCGCCCAAAGGUUCCCUCAGCGCGGUCGGAAAUCGCGCGUAGAGUGCAAAGGCAGAAGGGAGCUUGACUGCGAGACAUACAAGUCGGGCAGGGACGAAAGUCGGGCUUAGUGAUCCGGUGGUUCCGAGUGGAAGGGCCAUCGCUCAACGGAUAAAAGCUACCCCGGGGAUAACAGGCUUAUACCCCCCAAGAGUUCACAUCGACGGGGGUGUUUGGCACCUCGAUGUCGGCUCGUCUCAUCCUGGGGCUGGAGUAGGUCCCAAGGGUUGGGCUGUUCGCCCAUUAAAGAGGUACGCGAGCUGGGUUCAGAACGUCGUGAGACAGUUCGGUCCCUAUCCGCUGUGGGCGUUGGAAAUUUGAGAGGAGCUAUCCUUAGUACGAGAGGACCGGGAUGGACAUACCUCUGGUGUACCGGUUGUUCUGCCAAGGGCAUAGCCGGGUAGCUACGUAUGGAAGGGAUAAGCGCUGAAAGCAUCUAAGUGCGAAGCCCACCUCAAGAUAAGAUUUCCUCCGAAAGGUAAGACCCGUGAGAGACUAUCACGUUGAUAGGUCAGAGGUGUAAGUACGGUAACGUAUUCAGCUGACUGAUACUAAUAGGUCGAACACUUGACCAA
This 1819-nucleotide ribosomal RNA is filed under the name human oral metagenome. RNAcentral's name for it is "bacterial LSU rRNA". It matches the Rfam family "Bacterial large subunit ribosomal RNA", at positions 1084 to 2925 of the family's 2925-position model. The record is from RNAcentral.